RNAcentral lists this ribosomal RNA (484 nucleotides) under uncultured bacterium. Its description in RNAcentral is "partial 16S ribosomal RNA". It matches the Rfam family "Bacterial small subunit ribosomal RNA", at positions 30 to 507 of the family's 1533-position model. The record is from RNAcentral.
AUUGAACGCUGGCGGCAGGCCUAACACAUGCACGUCGAGCGGAUGAAGGGAGCUUGCUCCUGGAUUCAGCGGCGGACGGGUGAGUAAUGCCUAGGAAUCUGCCUGGUAGUGGGGGACAACGUCCGGAAACGGGCGCUAAUACCGCAUACGUCCUGAGGGAGAAAGUGGGGGAUCUUCGGACCUCACGCUAUCAGAUGAGCCUAGGUCGGAUUAGCUAGUUGGUGGGGUAAAGGCCUACCAAGGCGACGAUCCGUAACUGGCCUGAGAGGAUGAUCAGUCACACUGGAACUGAGACACGGUCCAGACUCCUACGGGAGGCAGCAGUGGGGAAUAUUGGACAAUGGGCGAAAGCCUGAUCCAGCCAUGCCGCGUGUGUGAAGAAGGUCUUCGGAUUGUAAAGCACUUUAAGUUGGGAGGAAGGGCAGUAAGUUAAUACCUUGCUGUUUUGACGUUACCAACAGAAUAAGCACCGGCUAACUUCGUG